This 467-nucleotide ribosomal RNA is filed under the name uncultured bacterium. RNAcentral describes it as "partial 16S ribosomal RNA". It matches the Rfam family "Bacterial small subunit ribosomal RNA", at positions 29 to 507 of the family's 1533-position model. The record is from RNAcentral.
ACUAACGCUGGCGGCGUGCUUAACCCAUGCAAGUCGAACGGAAAGGCCCUGCUUUUGUGGGGUGCUCAAGUGGCGAACGGGUGAGUAACACGUGAGUAACCUGCCCUUGACUUUGGGAUAACUUCAGGAAACUGGGGCUAAUACCGGAUAGGAGCUCCUGCUGCAUGGUGGGGGUUGGAAAGUUUCGGCGGUUGGGGAUGGACUCGCGGCUUAUCAGCUUGUUGGUGGGGUAGUGGCUUACCAAGGCUUUGACGGGUAGCCGGCCUGAGAGGGUGACCGGCCACAUUGGGACUGAGAUACGGCCCAGACUCCUACGGGAGGCAGCAGUGGGGAAUAUUGCACAAUGGGCGGAAGCCUGAUGCAGCAACGCCGCGUGCGGGAUGACGGCCUUCGGGUUGUAAACCGCUUUCGCCUGUGACGAAGCGUGAGUGACGGUAAUGGGUAAAGAAGCACCGGCUAACUACGUG